GGACCCGCACAAGUAGUGGAGCAUGUGGUUUAAUUCGAAGAUACGCGCAGAACCUUACCAACACUUGACAUGUUCGUCGCGACUCUAAGAGAUUAGAGUUUUCGGUUCGGCCGGACGAAACACAGGUGCUGCAUGGCUGUCGUCAGCUCGUGUCGUGAGAUGUUGGGUUAAGUCCCGCAACGAGCGCAACCCUCACUUUUAGUUGCCAUCAUUAAGUUGGGCACUCUGAAAGAACUGCCAGUGAUAAGCUGGAGGAAGGUGGGGAUGACGUCAAGUCCUCAUGGCCCUUACGUGUUGGGCUACACACGUGCUACAAUGGGUAUCUACAACAGGAAAGCAAAAAUCUGCGAAGUU
RNAcentral lists this ribosomal RNA (354 nucleotides) under uncultured bacterium. Its description in RNAcentral is "bacterial SSU rRNA". It matches the Rfam family "Bacterial small subunit ribosomal RNA", at positions 917 to 1264 of the family's 1533-position model. The record is from RNAcentral.